Molecule: unclassified non-coding RNA, 89 nt
Filed under: Pseudomonas cedrina
Lineage: Bacteria; Pseudomonadati; Pseudomonadota; Gammaproteobacteria; Pseudomonadales; Pseudomonadaceae
Source: RNAcentral
UGUGGGAGCUGGCUUGCCUGCGAUGACGGUGGGUCAGUUAAAGGUGGGUUGGCUGAUAAACCGCCAUCGCAGGCAAGCCAGCUCCCACA